CGGAGAGAGUGGGAUUCGAACCCACGGUGCCCCGGCAGGAGCACACGGCAUUUCCAGUGCCGCCCGUUCGGCCACUCCGGCAUCUCUCC
RNAcentral lists this transfer RNA (89 nucleotides) under Candidatus Hakubella thermalkaliphila. RNAcentral describes it as "Candidatus Hakubanella thermoalkaliphilus tRNA-Ser". Lineage: Bacteria; Bacillati; Actinomycetota; Candidatus Hakubellales; Candidatus Hakubellaceae. The record is from RNAcentral.